GUCUAUGGCCAUGCCACCCUAAAUGUGCCCAAUCUCAUCUGAUUUCAGAAGCUAAGCAGGGUUGGAUCUGGUUAGUACUUGGAUGGGAGACCACCUAAGAAUACCAGGUGCUAUCAGCA
This 119-nucleotide ribosomal RNA is filed under the name Pteropus alecto (black flying fox). The record is from RNAcentral. Lineage: Eukaryota; Metazoa; Chordata; Mammalia; Chiroptera; Pteropodidae.